CCUCGUGCGGCGUCAUCCAGCGAAUCCCCCAGGACCGGAAGGUAGCAAGGGUAAGCGGGCUCUGGCGGGUGCGCGAGGGG
RNAcentral lists this signal recognition particle RNA (80 nucleotides) under Actinomyces oris. RNAcentral's name for it is "Bacterial small signal recognition particle RNA". It matches the Rfam family "Bacterial small signal recognition particle RNA", at positions 8 to 87 of the family's 97-position model. Rfam says of the family: The signal recognition particle (SRP) is a universally conserved ribonucleoprotein involved in the co-translational targeting of proteins to membranes. Archaeal SRP consists of a 7S RNA and homologues of the eukaryotic SRP19 and SRP54 proteins. In most bacteria, the SRP consists of a 4.5S RNA and the Ffh protein (a homologue of the eukaryotic SRP54 protein). The record is from RNAcentral. Lineage: Bacteria; Bacillati; Actinomycetota; Actinomycetes; Actinomycetales; Actinomycetaceae.